AUUAGAUACCCCACUAUAACUUCAGGUCUUACCUUUAAUUUUAGAGAGUAAAGAAUUUUUAAAACUAAUUAACAUGGCGGUUAUAUUUCCCAGUCAGAGGGGUGUGUAUGUAAACGACUUUACACGAAAAUCUUACCUAAAAUAUUAUUAAUUAUGACCCCAUUUUAUGGGGGUCAAUAAUGUUAAUUUUGUACACCUCCGUCGGAAGGAUAUUUCGAAAGAUUUGUCCCAAGCACUUUCUUUCACUUAAUGAAUUUUGUUUGUUGAAUUAAGUAAACAGCAAGGGUAAAUUAUUUUAGAAAAGUAAGGUAAUAAGUCAGGUCAAGGUGCAGACUAUGUUUAGGACAAAUACGCACUUUUUUAAAAGUUGAAACAAAGAUAAGUUUGAAAUAGUUCUUUGUGAUGAAUUUGAUAGUAAGGGGGUUUUAUUAUAACUUUCUGAAAAGGUAAAAAAUAAUGCACACAUCGCCCG
RNAcentral lists this ribosomal RNA (472 nucleotides) under Austrogoniodes concii. RNAcentral's name for it is "partial small subunit ribosomal RNA". The record is from RNAcentral. Lineage: Eukaryota; Metazoa; Arthropoda; Insecta; Psocodea; Philopteridae.